Schizosaccharomyces pombe (fission yeast) is the source of this 1061-nucleotide non-coding RNA. NCBI's taxonomy places the organism in Eukaryota, Fungi, Ascomycota, Schizosaccharomycetes, Schizosaccharomycetales, Schizosaccharomycetaceae. The record is from the annotation of a GenBank genome assembly.
AAAUGGCAGUUCAUCUACACCUUGUACGCUUAACGACGCUCCUCGUAUUUUAAAUAUUGAGUUUGCGUUUCUUAGAAAAGUGGUAACGAAAUCAGGAGGUAGAAGGUCAUCGGUGAUACUCAAAUUCGUAUUCGAAAUAGUGUAGAGCUCGUCGUCCAGCACAGUUUUCAUUCUCUGAUAGGUAAAGUCUUCCAAACUAUAGUAGAGUAUUAGUAAUUAACAAAUAUACACGCUUUUCGUUUUGGAGCUUACGUUUUAAUAAUUCUCAAAAUUAUGCACUCGUCAUGCACGAUCUUUGAAAAUGCCUCCCUAUAAAAACCAAGAAUUUCUAUAACGUUAUAUAGUCUAACUAUGUCUGAUAGAUCCAGCACCGAAGUCUGCGCUCGAGAUGAUAGAGGACGGCAAAUUCCGUAUAAGCUUCCAUCAAGUAAGGAAUUCAUUUGAUCUUCUAAAACAUUAGGAACGUCCCAAGGAGGGAAGGGAUUUAACUGAAUCUGGCGCUUUCGGGCGGCGAACAAAGCUUCAACUAGUUCCUUUUCAUUAACAAUUGUUUGAUGAAUCCAAGCAAGUAAAUCUCCAAUGAAGCGCACAGUAUCGGGAGCCGACAACUCAAUUGGUCUGGAGGAUGAUAAAAAAUCUCCUCUAGUGAGAGCUGUCAGAUAAGCCGUAGAUAAAAUUUGUUGACGGGCCUGAACAAUUAAAUUAAUUGACUUGUUUACCAUUGUUGGUUCUGAAAAAAGCUUGGUAAAAGCUUUUUUUAGAUGCGAAUUUGCUUCUAAAGUUUGAGCAGUCUGAGGAUCUGACAGUUCGGUCUGUACGCAUCGAAAAAGUUUUUCAAAUGCAGCUUCAAUAUACCGAGACAUUUUUUUUACAAUUUCCUCGAAAGAAGAGUACUCCACGAAGCCAGAAAGUGAAGCAAAUAAAGAAUCACUACUAUCAUGAAUCUCUUGCGCUUUGUCGAGAAUUAAGUAAAAUCGAUCGUCAACGUCAGUUGAAGAAGUCAAGUGAAUUAAAUCAUCGUCCAUUAUUACAAAGUUUUUCUCAAAUAUUUCAAUAUUUUU